UAAUAAUGCACUAAUUAGACUAAGGACAAAUCUACUUAAAUUAGAAUACAUGCCUCAUAAUAAAUCUCCUUUUCUUACUUCACUUAUCUUUAAGAAAUUUCUUAAACUCAUAUAUUAUUUGAUGCGUGUUCAUCCACUAUUUUCGGGCUUCGACUAAAUUGGACCUACGUAUCUUUUUACUUUGAAAAUUAAUUCCAAGAUUCAUUUUAGUUUGAUUACAUCAUUUGAAGAAAUCAUAAACCAAUAAUUAAAGUAAACAAUAAUGAAAUCUUAUUUUCAAACUUAGGCUAAAAAUUAAUACCAGAUUUGCUCCCAAAAGAUAUUAUUUUCUACUAGAUGAAGGCCCUCUUUCAUUUUCAGCCCAAAACAUAAAUAAUUUCGGAAUUGGGCUUCCCUCUAUUAAACAGCCUUCAUGAAUUAACGAAUUUGGGCUUAUCUUAUUUCCUCACUCCCUCGCCCAAGUAUGAAAAUUAGCCCAAGUAAAUAAAAACACUAGCCCAACCAUUAAGCCCAUUUAAAGAAAACCUAUGUUAUAAUACCCAAGUCUUCUUCUUCCUCCCCAAUUCACCAAAAUGAACACUCUCCCCCCUCACACAUUGCCGCCGCCGCCAGCCUCCCUCCGGUGCCGCCGUCGCGCCCGUCGCCUCCGGCGGUGGUCCUUCCUCCUCCUCCUUCUCUCUUUCUCCCUUCUCUCACUCUCUCUAUUCCUCUCCAGCCUCACGCCGCCGCCCUCUCUCUCCCGAUCCGCCGCCGCCGCCGCCGCUGAUCUGUCUCCGUCGCCUCCUUCCUCUCCUCCUCCUCCUCCUUUCUUUCCCUCGGCUCCCUCUUUCUCUCUCGGAUUUGCCACCGCCGCCGCCGCCACUGUGCAUGCACAGGUGGCGACUUCGGCCUCCUCCACGCCUCGAGCUGCCGGAGCAGUUUCCCGGCGCCACUCCAGCCCCGGCCGCCGCCUCCUCGCCGAACUCCCGGAAGAAUUGUCAAGAUUUUAUUGAAAGACAUAAUAGGGGUGUGGGCUGCCCUCGUCGUCUCCGGGCGGCUGAGCUCGCUGCCGGAAUCCGGCAGACUCAUAGAGAUAAGUUUUUCUUCUUCUUUCUAGUUAUUAAGGCACUAGGAUUUUAUUUUAUUUCCAUUUACUGAAUUUGAUGAAUUUGGAGUAUAUGCCUUGUUAUAUGGAUGAUUUAAUGGUAAAAUACACUAUAUUGUUAACUUGGGGGUGGGCAGAUUUUAUUUCCAAAUAUAUGCAGGCUUACAUAUAUAAAUGAAAGGAAAUGUUUGUUGUUUACCUUGUUGAUGCAGAAAGUAAAGUGUUGGGUUGUCGUUUUUUUUUAGUUGUGCAAUCUCCAUCGGACUCCUCUAUCUUUUGUGAGUUGGUGUGUGCAGAGAAAAUAGACUGUGUGGUGAUGAUGUGGGGGUGAAUAAAAGAAAUUGAUUGUAUCUCUAGAUGCGUACUCACCAAGGCAGUGAAAGUGAUAUGCAUACUCAGCAAGUUGCCUACCUAUUCUUAUCUCAAAUUAUUCUCCUUCGUCAGGAAGGGAUAUGAUUUGCAUGCACUAAUUAAAUGCAGCAUUUAAUGCUGUGUCUGAAAAAAAAUCGAUCCUAUCAAUCUUUUAUUUUUUUUAUUUUAUUUUUAUAUUAAAGUAAUUGUUUUAGUAUUUGUUCACUUGUUCAUUUAAUUUGGUGUGGGUAUGAUUGGUUCAAGUUUGUAGCUGUCCGCGUUGAAGUUUUCGAUUUUUCUUAGAACGCAGGAUGUAUAGAUUAAAUUUUGUUUGACUUUUGCUGGAUGUAUCGGACAUUAAAAUUUUAAUUAUGGAACCUGAUUCUUUUA
Salvia splendens (bonfire salvia) is the source of this 1825-nucleotide long non-coding RNA. RefSeq lists it as uncharacterized. Lineage: Eukaryota; Viridiplantae; Streptophyta; Magnoliopsida; Lamiales; Lamiaceae. The record is from RefSeq and is a predicted model, not a curated record. The transcript has 2 exons.